AGUCGUUGAGCUAACCCUGGAGCUUGCGAAAGGGAGGCAGGCGCCGACGGUGUGGUUGGUAAUUGGGGUGAAGUCGUAACAAGGUAGCCGUAGGUGAACCUGCAGAAGGAUCA
RNAcentral lists this ribosomal RNA (113 nucleotides) under uncultured eukaryote. RNAcentral's name for it is "partial small subunit ribosomal RNA". The record is from RNAcentral.